CUCAGCGCCAGCCAGCGAAAGCAGAUUUGAAUUUAACAGCUGAUGAUAUGGUGCACUGAGCGUUCUAAUCACGCCGGUGUAAUUGUAUUAAAUAUAGAAAAUAUUAAUCGGCUAUUUUUUAUCUUUUGGAAGCUGCAUUCAAAAUCCACUUGGCUCAAAAAUCUACUUUGAACGGGCAUGACGCCUCUGAGCACAGUGAUACUG
Long non-coding RNA from Sinocyclocheilus rhinocerous, 204 nucleotides. RefSeq lists it as uncharacterized. The transcript has 3 exons. Lineage: Eukaryota; Metazoa; Chordata; Actinopteri; Cypriniformes; Cyprinidae. The record is from RefSeq and is a predicted model, not a curated record.